RNAcentral lists this ribosomal RNA (301 nucleotides) under uncultured bacterium. Its description in RNAcentral is "partial 16S ribosomal RNA". It matches the Rfam family "Bacterial small subunit ribosomal RNA", at positions 509 to 807 of the family's 1533-position model. The record is from RNAcentral.
CAGUAGCCACGGGAAUACAGAGGGUGCAAGCGUUAAUCGGAAUUACUGGGCGUAAAGCGCGCGUAGGUGGUUUGUUAAGUUGGAUGUGAAAGCCCCGGGCUCAACCUGGGAACUGCAUCCAAAACUGGCAAGCUAGAGUACGGUAGAGGGUGGUGGAAUUUCCUGUGUAGCGGUGAAAUGCGUAGAUAUAGGAAGGAACACCAGUGGCGAAGGCGACCACCUGGACUGAUACUGACACUGAGGUGCGAAAGCGUGGGGAGCAAACAGGAUUAGAUACCCCAGUAGUCCCUGUCUCUUAUAC